UAACGGCGAGUGAAGCGGCAAUAGCUCAAAUUUGAAAGCUGGCCUCUGGUCCGCAUUGUAAUUUGUAGAGGAUGCUUUUAGGCAGCCGCCGGUCUAAGUUCCUUGGAACAGGACGUCAUAGAGGGUGAGAAUCCCGUAUGUGACCGGCUCAGGCACCUUCUGUAAAGCUCCUUCGACGAGUCGAGUUGUUUGGGAAUGCAGCUCUAAAUGGGAGGUAAAUUUCUUCUAAAGCUAAAUACUGGCGAGAGACCGAUAGCGCACAAGUAGAGUGAUCGAAAGAUGAAAAGCACUUUGGAAAGAGAGUUAAAAAGCACGUGAAAUUGUUGAAAGGGAAGCGCUUGCAAUCAGACUUGGCCUAGGGUGUUCAACCGGUCUUCUGACCGGCCUAUUCAUUCUGGGCCAGGCCAGCAUCAGUUUUGGCGGCCGGAUAAAGGCCUUGGGAAUGUGGCUUCCUCUUCGGGGGAAGUGUUAUAGCCCAGGGUGUAAUACGGCCAGCCGGGACUGAGGUCCGCGCUUCGGCUAGGAUGCUGGCGUAAUGGUUGUAAGCGGCCCGUCUUGAAACACGGACCAAGGAGUCUAACAUCUAUGCGAGUGUUAGGGUGUCAAACCCUUACGCGUAAUGAAAGUGAACGGAGGUGGGAACCCGCAAGGGUGCACCAUCGACCGAUCCUGAUGUCUUCGGAUGGAUUUGAGUAAGAGCAUAGCUGUUGGGACCCGAAAGAUGGUGAACUAUGCCUGAAUAGGGUGAAGCCAGAGGAAACUCUGGUGGAGGCUCGCAGCGGUUCUGACGUGCAAAUCGAUCGUCAAAUUUGGGUAUAGGGGCGAAAGACUAAUCGAACCAU
Molecule: ribosomal RNA, 842 nt
Filed under: Phaeocryptopus nudus
Lineage: Eukaryota; Fungi; Ascomycota; Dothideomycetes
Description: eukaryotic LSU rRNA
Rfam family: Eukaryotic large subunit ribosomal RNA
Source: RNAcentral